Molecule: ribosomal RNA, 584 nt
Filed under: uncultured bacterium
Lineage: Bacteria
Description: partial 16S ribosomal RNA
Rfam family: Bacterial small subunit ribosomal RNA
Source: RNAcentral
UGGGGAAUUUUGGACAAUGGGGGCAACCCUGAUCCAGCAAUGCCGCGUGUGUGAAGAAGGCCUUCGGGUUGUAAAGCACUUUUGUCCGGGAAGAAAUCCCCUGCCCUAAUACGGCGGGGGGAUGACGGUACCGGAAGAAUAAGCACCGGCUAACUACGUGCCAGCAGCCGCGGUAAUACGUAGGGUGCGAGCGUUAAUCGGAAUUACUGGGCGUAAAGCGUGCGCAGGCGGUGAUGUAAGACCGAUGUGAAAUCCCCGGGCUCAACCUGGGAACUGCAUUGGUGACUGCAUUGCUCGAGUAUGGCAGAGGGGGGUGGAAUUCCACGUGUAGCAGUGAAAUGCGUAGAGAUGUGGAGGAACACCGAUGGCGAAGGCAGCCCCCUGGGCCAAUACUGACGCUCAUGCACGAAAGCGUGGGGAGCAAACAGGAUUAGAUACCCUGGUAGUCCACGCCCUAAACGAUGUCAACUGGUUGUCGGGCCUUCAUUGGCUUGGUAACGUAGCUAACGCGUGAAGUUGACCGCCUGGGGAGUACGGUCGCAAGAUUAAAACUCAAGGAAUUGACGGGGUCAUAGCUGUUUCCU